UCCCUGGUGGCCCAGUGGGUAAGACUCUGCACUCCCAAUGCAGGGGACCCAAGUUUGAUUCUUGGUCAGGGAA
Non-coding RNA from Bos taurus (domestic cattle), 73 nucleotides. The record is from Rfam. Lineage: Eukaryota; Metazoa; Chordata; Mammalia; Artiodactyla; Bovidae.